This 999-nucleotide ribosomal RNA is filed under the name uncultured organism. RNAcentral describes it as "bacterial SSU rRNA". It matches the Rfam family "Bacterial small subunit ribosomal RNA", at positions 356 to 1376 of the family's 1533-position model. The record is from RNAcentral.
GGGGAAUAUUGCACAAUGGGCGAAAGCCUGAUGCAGCGACGCCGCGUGAGCGAAGAAGUAUUUCGGUAUGUAAAGCUCUAUCAGCAGGGAAGAUAAUGACGGUACCUGACUAAGAAGCACCGGCUAAAUACGUGCCAGCAGCCGCGGUAAUACGUAUGGUGCAAGCGUUAUCCGGAUUUACUGGGUGUAAAGGGUGCGUAGGCGGCUUUGCAAGUCAGAUGUGAAAUCUAUGGGCUCAACCCAUAAACUGCAUUUGAAACUGUAGAGCUUGAGUGAAGUAGAGGCAGGCGGAAUUCCCCGUGUAGCGGUGAAAUGCGUAGAGAUGGGGAGGAACACCAGUGGCGAAGGCGGCCUGCUGGGCUUUAACUGACGCUGAGGCACGAAAGCGUGGGUAGCAAACAGGAUUAGAUACCCUGGUAGUCCACGCUGUAAACGAUGAUUACUAGGUGUGGGGGGUCUGACCCCUUCCGUGCCGGAGUUAACACAAUAAGUAAUCCACCUGGGGAGUACGGCCGCAAGGUUGAAACUCAAAGGAAUUGACGGGGGCCCGCACAAGCAGUGGAGUAUGUGGUUUAAUUCGAAGCAACGCGAAGAACCUUACCAGGUCUUGACAUCCAACUAACGAAGUAGAGAUACAUUAGGUGCCCUUCGGGGAAAGUUGAGACAGGUGGUGCAUGGUUGUCGUCAGCUCGUGUCGUGAGAUGUUGGGUUAAGUCCCGCAACGAGCGCAACCCUUGCUAUUAGUUGCUACGCAAGAGCACUCUAAUAGGACUGCCGUUGACAAAACGGAGGAAGGUGGGGACGACGUCAAAUCAUCAUGCCCCUUAUGACCUGGGCUACACACGUACUACAAUGGAUGUUAACAGAGGGAAGCAAGACAGCGAUGUGGAGCAAACCCCUAAAAACAUUCUCAGUUCAGAUUGCAGGCUGCAACCCGCCUGCAUGAAGAUGGAAUUGCUAGUAAUCGCGGAUCAGCAUGCCGCGGUGAAUACGUUCCCG